RNAcentral lists this transfer RNA (69 nucleotides) under Camelus bactrianus (Bactrian camel). It matches the Rfam family "tRNA". From Rfam's summary of the family: Transfer RNA (tRNA) molecules are approximately 80 nucleotides in length. Lineage: Eukaryota; Metazoa; Chordata; Mammalia; Artiodactyla; Camelidae. The record is from Rfam by way of RNAcentral. RNAcentral also lists the same sequence under 3 other names.
GGUAUUAUAGCUCAGUGGUAUAGCACAUGCUUAGCACACUUGAAGGCCUGGAUUCAAUCCCCAGUACCA